UACAGAGGGUGCGAGCGUUGUCCGGAAUUAUUGGGCGUAAAGAGCUCGUAGGCGGUCUGUCGCGUCUGCUGUGAAAACUCAGGGCUUAACCCUGAGCUUGCAGUGGGUACGGGCAGACUAGAGUGCGGUAGGGGAGACUGGAAUUCCUGGUGUAGCGGUGAAAUGCGCAGAUAUCAGGAGGAACACCGGUGGCGAAGGCGGGUCUCUGGGCCGUAACUGACGCUGAGGAGCGAAAGCAUGGGGAGCGGACAGG
RNAcentral lists this ribosomal RNA (253 nucleotides) under uncultured bacterium. Its description in RNAcentral is "partial 16S ribosomal RNA". It matches the Rfam family "Bacterial small subunit ribosomal RNA", at positions 524 to 776 of the family's 1533-position model. The record is from RNAcentral.